Molecule: long non-coding RNA, 2328 nt
Organism: Gigantopelta aegis
Lineage: Eukaryota; Metazoa; Mollusca; Gastropoda; Neomphalida; Peltospiridae
Exons: 3
Source: RefSeq, a predicted model, not a curated record
GCGUGUUUGUGCUGGUUGCACUUUUCAUUUCCCUUGGUUGUCGACGUCCUCAACGUGUGUUAAUUAAUUACUGCGACGAUCUGUAUCAAAGACACAUUUAUCUGGUGUACCGAUACCAAAUCUAAAGGAUGGUAUGAUUAAUCAUUAACGCCUGCAGCUAUGUGGCUGAGAAGAUUCGGCGAGCAUGCGGGCGUUCCAGUAAUCAAACUGAGCAGAUGAAGGGAAUCAAGGAGAGGAAGUGUGUACUCAGCAAUGAGUAUGACACCAAACCCUAUCCUGAGGAUCCUGUAGUCACUCGCCAACAUCAGUCGGCUGCGUACAGAAGCUGUGCAAGGCCCGGUGGUGGAUGAGGAUAGCUUCCCAGCAUGCUCAGCUCACUGGACAUGUUGGAAGUUCAAAGCUUCCCAGCAUGCCUCAGCUGGGUGUGUUGGAAGUUCAAAAGUGUCAAAGACUAGUUAUUAGAUGUUUUCUUUUUGUGUCUGUAUAUUUAUACCUUUGAUAGUGUUUUAUCUUGUUUUUUGUAAGGAAAUAUGGUUGGGUUUGGGUUGUUUUUCUAACAUUUUAUUAACUUUUCCAGACUUUCAUAUUCAUUACCCGGUAAUUCAUAAAAGGCCAAGAAACGAUAGUUUUCAUCCUUACCUACUUCCUUUGUGUAGCCAUUACAUGGGUGUGUGGGAAUCAAGUAUUUGUACUUUUUAAAAAUUUAUAAUUUUUUAUAUAUUUGUUUUUUCUUUUGGGGUGGGUGGAUUAGGAUAAUCUUUAAUCAAAAGGUACAAGUACUGAAUCAAAACCUUCACCUCAGUAGUUAUCUCUUGUAGCUACACAUUGUAUUUUGAUAUUAGUAUUAUUUAUUAAUGUUAAUUUAAGUAUAAUGAAUUUCAAGCAAGUUAAUAACUUAGCAUUUAAAUUAAAUGCAGAGUUCAUACAGACACUGGAAAUUGGUUGUAAUAAUAAUAAAAAACCCCACAUAUUUAAAUUAAUUUGCAUAAAGUUGUAACUGCAAAUUUUACACUAACUCUAAGUAAGGCCUUCCAACUUUUGUAGUUUAUGUCUAUUUCCCACAAAAUUUGAAAUCCUAUGGCCUGAUACAUCUUUCUGGGUAUAAAUUAGCUGUGAAAGACUGUUAAUAAUAAAUUUUAUUUGACUAUGUGACCAGAAAUACAUCAAUACAUCUACACCUCAUUUAGUAGAUUUGUAAUUUUAGUGUACCAUACUGUUAGAAUUUUACAGAAAGAAGAAAAACAAACAGUAUUGUGAUUAGCCCAGUGCUUCGUGUCAUUGUACAUCCUAUUUUUAUGGAUUUUUUACUUAAUUGUUUUUUUUGGACAUUUUUAUAUUUGUCAAGACUGAAAUCCUUUGUACAUGGUGAUAUGGUAAUCCCCAGUCAGACCUGUUUGAAAAGGCCACCUAAACAGUGUCAGAUCCAGAGGGGGUAUUCUGGAGGGGUGCACUCUCCCUUUUGUAUACUACAAGUACCAUAAUAAACUGAAGAUAUUAAAAAAAUAUAUAUAUUAUCAAUUUAUCCCGAAAUAAGAACAAGAUGAUUGUAAAUAAGAAAAAAACAUGUUAUUUCUUUUGGUUGGUGAUUCUUGACUGACAAGAUAUAUUAGAUACAUGUCAGUACUAAAAUGGGGUGAAAAAAUGGAUUACAAAAAUCGGUCAAAAACAAUAUCAACUUUUAUUGCAAGAGGUGCAUAACAUCAGAAAAAAGUUCUAAAACAUUGACAUCUGAUUGCAGCAAGAGCCCUUUUUUUUUUUGGCCAAGUUGCACCCCCUCUGGAGUAAACUCCUGGAUCUGUCACUGACUGUAUCCAAGAGAUAAAAAAAAAACACUGAUUUUUAGAAGUUAAAAAUGCAUGAACUUUGUGUAUAGUAUGACAUAUUUGAAGGGCCUUUUAUGAAUAGGUUCUUGUACAAAGAGUUGGGUCAUACCUAAUGUUAAUAAUGGGUGGGGAGGGGUAGCAAUAAACGAACAAAGCAGUUGGGGUAGAGAGUAAACAGUAUUCUCUAUCCAGAUAAAAAUGGCACUGUUAAAAAAAAAAAAAAAAAAAAGGGAGGGGGAUUUGGGGAAAGUUUUCCCCAAUUGCCCCCUGGUCUCUCAUUAGGUAUGACCCACCAGUGCCUGUUAAAGCAGGUUAAACUGUGGACAGUAUUUCAAGACACCUGCAAGCUUAGCUAUUGGUGACUAAUGACGUUUGCUCCCAAACCUUGUCCGCUGAUAAGAGGGCCGUUACCGAGUGUUUCACCAUAGCUAAUCUUACAGGUAAUAUUCAAACACUUGUGUACUUGGGUUAUGUCAUGUUAGUUGUUUUGGAAUAAAAGAUAUUU